CUGACGGUAGUCGUAUGCUCGUCUCCGAGACUAAGCCAUGCAAGUCCAAGUACACGUCCUUGAACGACGGAAACUGCGAACGGCUCAUUAAAUCAGUUGCGAUCUACUCGGCGUUCCGCGCCGCCGGAUAACCGUAGUAAUUCUAGGGCUAAUACGUGCGAAGCGCCCGAAGCCGCGAGGCGACGGGCGUUCUCGCCGGAUGUAGGAACCGACCCGGGGACCGCCGGGGCAACCCGGCGCCCCCGAGACGGGGCGAACCACGGUGAAAUGACGGAUCGUCGGCCCCGCGCCGGCGACUCGCCGAAUGAGUUUCUGACCUAUCAACUCGAGACGGCGGGGUAGAGGCCCGCCGCGGUAACGACGGGUAACGGGGAUCAGGGUUCGAUUCCGGAGAGGGGAGCCCGAGAAACGGCUACCACUUCCAAGG
RNAcentral lists this ribosomal RNA (427 nucleotides) under uncultured eukaryote. Its description in RNAcentral is "bacterial SSU rRNA". It matches the Rfam family "Eukaryotic small subunit ribosomal RNA", at positions 14 to 421 of the family's 1831-position model. The record is from RNAcentral.